AUACGUAGGGUGCGAGCGUUAAUCGGAAUUAUUGGGCGUAAAGCGUGCGCAGGCGGCGCCAUAAGACAGCUGUGAAAUCCCCGGGCUUAACCUGGGAACUGCGGUUGUGACUGUGGUGCUAGAGUACGGCAGAGGGAGGUGGAAUUCCUGGUGUAGCAGUGAAAUGCGUAGAGAUCAGGAGGAACACCGAUGGCGAAGGCAGCCUCCUGGGCUGAUACUGACGCUCAUGCACGAAAGCGUGGGGAGC
Molecule: ribosomal RNA, 247 nt
Filed under: uncultured bacterium
Lineage: Bacteria
Description: partial 16S ribosomal RNA
Rfam family: Bacterial small subunit ribosomal RNA
Source: RNAcentral